CAGCAAUAACAAGCGCCAGAGCUUGGUCUUGCGCGGGGGAGAAGGGAAAGCUGAGGAUUAAUUAGCUUGAACGGAUCACGGCAGACGUAAGCUGACGAGGUGGAGGUGUUCGAAAUGUUCGGCGGGGACCUCCCGGUGAUGCACCAGAGCCGUAAAUGUAAGCGGAAAAUGCAAGGGCGACCUUACACACAACGCUUUCAUGGGUGCAUAA
RNAcentral lists this non-coding RNA (211 nucleotides) under Bacillus sp. (in: firmicutes). RNAcentral's name for it is "Bacillus sp. GlcN6P sequence". It matches the Rfam family "glmS glucosamine-6-phosphate activated ribozyme aptamer". Rfam says of the family: This entry contains a glucosamine-6-phosphate activated ribozyme that is found in the mRNA for GlmS. GlmS is an enzyme that uses fructose-6-phosphate and glutamine to generate glucosamine-6-phosphate. Lineage: Bacteria; Bacillati; Bacillota; Bacilli; Caryophanales; Bacillaceae. The record is from RNAcentral.